RNAcentral lists this long non-coding RNA (739 nucleotides) under Salmo salar (Atlantic salmon). RNAcentral describes it as "lncRNA (ENSSSAG00000095439.1)". The record is from RNAcentral. Lineage: Eukaryota; Metazoa; Chordata; Actinopteri; Salmoniformes; Salmonidae.
GUUUCUUCCUAGGUUUUUGGCCUUUCUAGGGAGUUUUUCCUAGGGAGUUUUUCCUAGCCACCGUGCUUCUUUCACAUGCAUUGCUUGCUGUUUGGGGUUUUAGGCUGGGUUUCUGUACAGCACUUUGAGAUAUCAGCUGAUGUACGAAGGGCUAUAUAAAAAUGUUUGAUUUGAUUUGAUCUGUAUUCAUUUAUAUCCACUAGAUGGCACUGUGCGCAGUGUGUAAGAGUGAGAGCAAGCAAUUACACUGGAGAGCUGAUGAAAUCCAUCGUGGGUCCAACGCUACUUUAGAUGGCUAAAUAAUACUUUUCAUUUUACUCUUGUACCGGAACAUAUCAUAUUUUGCAUCAUCUGCAGUGUAUAAGAGUUUGUUUUGUAAUAUUUAUGCCAGAUGGUCAUGUUAGACUGUUGAUACUUUCAGAUUGACAUGAGAAAGUUAGCUUCUUGCUAGCUGAAUACCAGUGCUCUCAGAACCACGUUGUGAAGUUGAUGAUAACCUUAUUUGAAGCUAUGGGUGAGAUGAGGAUCUACUGUUCCAUGUGGUGUUAGGGUAUCACCUGGACAAUAUUUAUUUUACAGAGCCACUACCAUUUAGGCAUUUCACUUUGUACUUAUUGUACUCAGAUUGUUUUUAUGCUGAUUUAUUCACUUGAUUGUGAUUUAGACUGAACUUUACUUGAUGGGGACUUCCCUUCUACAUUAUCCUAUUUUAAAUGUAAGAUUCGACAGAAUAAACAGC